This 395-nucleotide ribosomal RNA is filed under the name uncultured bacterium. RNAcentral's name for it is "partial 16S ribosomal RNA". It matches the Rfam family "Bacterial small subunit ribosomal RNA", at positions 338 to 730 of the family's 1533-position model. The record is from RNAcentral.
CCUACGGGAGUCAGCAGUGAGGAAUAUUGGUCAAUGGACGCGAGCCUGAACCAGCCAAGUAGCGUGAAGGAUGACUGCCCUACGGGUUGUAAACUUCUUUUAUAAAGGAAUAAAGUGUGCCACGUAUGCCUUUUUGUAUUUACUUUAUGAAUACGCAUAGGCUAACUCCGUGCCAUCAGCCGCGGUAAUACGGAGGAUACGAGCGUUAUCCGGAUUUAUUGGGUUUAAAGGGAGCGUAGAUGGAUUGUUAAGUCAGUUGUGAAAGUUUGCGGCUUAACCGUAAAAUUGCAAUUGAUACUGGCAGCCUUGAGUACAGUAGAGGUAGGCGGAAUUCGUGGUGGAGCGGUGAAAUGCUUAGAUAUCACGAAGAACUCCGAUUGCGAAGGCAGUCUACU